This 458-nucleotide ribosomal RNA is filed under the name uncultured organism. RNAcentral's name for it is "partial 16S ribosomal RNA". It matches the Rfam family "Bacterial small subunit ribosomal RNA", at positions 329 to 804 of the family's 1533-position model. The record is from RNAcentral.
ACGUACACUCCUGCGGGAGGCAGCAGUGGGGAAUUUUACGCAAUGGGGGAAACCCUGACGUAGCGACACCGCGUGAGCGAAGAAGCCCUUUGGGGUGUAAAGCUCUGUCAGCUGGAACGAAAACAAUGACGGUACCAGCAGAGGAAGCAUCGGCUAACUACGUGCCAGCAGCCGCGGUAAGACGUAGGAUGCGAGCGUUGUCCGGAUUUAUUGGGCGUAAAGAGUUCGUAGGUGGUUUGUUAAGUUUGGUGUUAAAGAUCGGGGCUCAACCCUGGGACUGCACUGAAUACUGGCAGACUCGAGUGUGGUAGAGGCUAGUGGAAUUCCCAGUGUAGCGGUGAAAUGCGUAGAUAUUGGGAAGAACACCGGUGGCGUAGGCGACUAGCUGGGCCAUAACUGACGCUGAGGAACGAAAGCCAGGGGAGCGAAUGGGAUUAGAAACCCCGGUAGUCCCAUGA